UGGCGACCAUAGCGUUUUGGACCCACCUGACUCCAUCCCGAACUCAGAAGUGAAACGAAACAGCGUCAAUGGUAGUGUGGGGUCUCCCCAUGUGAGAGUAGAACAUCGC
This 109-nucleotide ribosomal RNA is filed under the name Vibrio cholerae. The record is from RNAcentral. Lineage: Bacteria; Pseudomonadati; Pseudomonadota; Gammaproteobacteria; Vibrionales; Vibrionaceae.